Molecule: ribosomal RNA, 581 nt
Filed under: uncultured Glomeromycotina
Lineage: Eukaryota; Fungi; Glomeromycota
Description: LSU rRNA
Rfam family: Eukaryotic large subunit ribosomal RNA
Source: RNAcentral
CAUGGAGGGUGAGAAUCCCGUUCGGCUGACCAGAUUCGUUUACGAUACACUUUCAAAGAGUCAAGUUGUUUGGGAUUGCAGCUUAAAAUGGGAGGUAAAUUUCUCCUAAGGCUAAAUAUUGGCGAGAGACCGAUAGCGAACAAGUACCGUGAGGGAAAGAUGAAAAGUACUUUGAAAAGAGAGUUAAAUAGUACGUGAAAUUGUUGAAAGGGAAACGAUUGAAGCCAGUCGUACUCAUGGGUAAUCAACCUUUCUGGCGCGAUUAUGUGGGCGUGUUGGAGCCUAAUCAGCCCUCGCGUUUUUAUAUUCGUUCCUCUUGGGUGUACUUGCCCGUGUGGUAGGUUAACAUCAAUUUUGGGCGUCAUAAAAUGACGGGAGGAAUGUAGCUUCGGUCUCGGCUGAAGUGUUAUAGCCUCUGGUAGAUGUGACGUCUGGGAUUGAGGAUUGCAACGGAUACCCCUCGGGGCUACCUGCCUGGCCUCUGAUGAUUGCUAUGGUGCCGAAAGCUUGCUUACGGUCAUCAAAGUUGAUUGUCAAAAGGUUAGAACGGGUUAAAUUCGUUAAGGAUGUUGACGUAAUGG